Molecule: ribosomal RNA, 274 nt
Filed under: uncultured bacterium
Lineage: Bacteria
Description: partial 16S ribosomal RNA
Rfam family: Bacterial small subunit ribosomal RNA
Source: RNAcentral
AUACGGAGGGAGCAAGCGUUAUUCGGAAUCACUGGGCGUAAAGGACGCGUAGGCGGGUUUGGAAGUCAGGUGUGAAAUCCUACAGCUCAACUGUAGAACUGCACUUGAAACUACAGACCUAGAGUAUGGAAGGGGCAGAUGGAAUUAGUGGUGUAGGGGUAAAAUCCGUAGAUAUCACUAGGAAUACCGAAAGCGAAGGCGAUCUGCUGGGACAUUACUGACGCUGAGGCGUGAAAGCGUGGGGAGCAAACAGGAUUAGAAACCCGAGUAGUCC